AACCUUUACAAUGCACGAAAGUGUGAUAAGGGAAUCCUGAGUGCUUUACUUUUAGUAAGGCUUUUGCCAACUGUAAAUAGGUUGGCGAAUAAGUGGUGGGAAAGACUUGUGCCAGCCGCCGCGGUAACACCAGCGCCACAAGUGGCAACCGAUUUUAUUGGGCCUAAAGCGUCCGUAGCCGGUUCAGCAAAUUUCUUGUGAAAUCGUUAGGCUUAACCUAACGGCAUGCAGGAAAGACUACUGGACUUGGGACCGGGAGGCGUCAGAGGUAUUCCUGAGGGAGCGGUAAAAUGCUAUAAUCUCAGGAGGACCACCUGUGGCGAAGGCGUCUGACGAGAACGGAUCCGACGGUGAGGGACGAAAGCCAGGGGAGCAAACCGG
RNAcentral lists this ribosomal RNA (381 nucleotides) under uncultured archaeon. RNAcentral describes it as "bacterial SSU rRNA". It matches the Rfam family "Archaeal small subunit ribosomal RNA", at positions 345 to 727 of the family's 1478-position model. The record is from RNAcentral.